RNAcentral lists this ribosomal RNA (412 nucleotides) under uncultured fungus. Its description in RNAcentral is "eukaryotic LSU rRNA". The stretch from base 113 to 267 matches the Rfam family "5.8S ribosomal RNA". The record is from RNAcentral. Lineage: Eukaryota; Fungi.
GUAGUUCUGUGGCCUGGGGGCUCUGCCCUCCUGCUGUGGUUCUAUGUCUUUACACAUACACUCUGUAAUGAAGUCUCAUGGAAUGUAUGCCGCGUUUAACGCAAUACAAUACAACUUUCAGCAACGGAUCUCUUGGCUCUCGCAUCGAUGAAGAACGCAGCGAAAUGCGAUAAGUAAUGUGAAUUGCAGAAUUCAGUGAAUCAUCGAAUCUUUGAACGCACCUUGCGCCCUUUGGCCAUUCCGAAGGGCAUGCCUGUUUGAGUAUCAUGAACACCUCAACUCUCAUGGCUCGCCAUGAUGAGCUUGGAUUUUGGGGGUCUUGCUGGCCUGUGGUCGGCUCCUCUCAAAUGGAUCAGCUUGCCAGUGUUUGGUGGCAUCACAGGUGUGAUAACUAUCUGCGCUUGUGGUUUUC